UCUACCACUUUAACAGGGCAAUGGCUGCUGGAAGUAGAUGUGCUGAGACAGUCACGUCUGCUAGAAUACACCGGGCCCUCGGCUGCCCGCCACUGAGGAGCUGUACAGCCACUACUGUGGAGUCGGACUGUGAUGAGGAUGAGGAUCUGCUGACAGUGAGGAGCCAAUGAUGUCUGGAUGUCAGACUCUGCAAAGAAGAUGGAGCUGGAGGAAGAACUGGUCUCUGGACCAGAUGAAGAAGAAAAGAUAACAGAGAAGAUAUCACUCAAGUCAGAAGACGUCACUCAGCACCUGUGGAAACCACAUGCAGGGUCUCACCACCCAUUACCGAAUAGAUGAGAUGAACCUGCAAAAAGCAGCCACAUGGGUUAUUUUCGUGGUGCCUACUGUACAUCUUUCGCUCUGCAUAAUAAGGAAACCAAGCCUCUCUACUCUCUCCUAUUCCUUUCAGAAUUUUAACAGAUAUAGGUUUAGGCCACAAAAUGAGCACUUUAUGCGUUGCUCAGUUUAUCUUUCAUCUACAGCCACUUACUUAUAAGUCUAUAUAUUGUGGUAAAGUAUACGGGUAAGUGGUGGAUGGGGUGUAUAUUUUGCCUGGUUUUCUCAGCCAGGCACGAUAAAGGAAAUCCAGAACGAUAUGCUGCUUUAGCAGAGCAUAGUCUGCUAUGGCUCUCUUGUUAAGUUUCAUGGGCUGGAUUUCCUGGGCUGGAGGACAGGUUGGAUGUGGAAGUGCUCCAGUCCACACCCUUAGUCCACUAUGGGUUUCCCUAUUUCAAGGUGUUCUCAGGGAAGGUUGGGUGGCUGCUGAUUGCUGGAGAGACAGAGGAGAAAACAGCCACAAAUAGGACUGCAGCUAAAACCCACCAGGUCUGAACCUUCCUCUGUGGACAUUUGUGUGAAUUUUCUUGGGGCCAGACAUUAGACCCACAGUAGGAUAGAGAGGCAUCCUGAUGUUUAGUUAGAGCUGGGCAGGCUUAGGUUUUUGUUGUUUUGUCUGCACUAUGCUUUGUGCCUAAAAGUAAUUUAAAUAAACAUCCUCUCGGACGUUUGA
Long non-coding RNA from Hyla sarda, 1051 nucleotides. RefSeq lists it as uncharacterized. Lineage: Eukaryota; Metazoa; Chordata; Amphibia; Anura; Hylidae. The record is from RefSeq and is a predicted model, not a curated record. The transcript is spliced from 3 exons.